This 253-nucleotide ribosomal RNA is filed under the name uncultured bacterium. RNAcentral describes it as "partial 16S ribosomal RNA". It matches the Rfam family "Bacterial small subunit ribosomal RNA", at positions 524 to 776 of the family's 1533-position model. The record is from RNAcentral.
UACGUAGGUGGCAAGCGUUGUCCGGAAUUAUUGGGCGUAAAGAGCUCGUAGGCGGUUUGUCGCGUCUGCUGUGAAAACUGGGGGCUCAACCCCCAGCCUGCAGUGGGUACGGGCAGACUAGAGUGCGGUAGGGGAGAGUGGAAUUCCUGGUGUAGCGGUGGAAUGCGCAGAUAUCAGGAAGAACACCCGUGGCGAAGGCGGCUCUCUGGAACGCAACUGACGCUGAGACGCGAAAGCGUGGGGAGCAAACAGG